This 497-nucleotide ribosomal RNA is filed under the name uncultured bacterium. RNAcentral's name for it is "partial 16S ribosomal RNA". It matches the Rfam family "Bacterial small subunit ribosomal RNA", at positions 28 to 507 of the family's 1533-position model. The record is from RNAcentral.
GAUGAACGCUGGCGGCGUGCCUAAUACAUGCAAGUCGAGCGAACAGACGAGGAGCUUGCUCCUCUGACGUUAGCGGCGGACGGGUGAGUAACACGUGGAUAACCUACCUAUAAGACUGGGAUAACUUCGUGAAACCGGUGCUAAUACCGGAUAAUAUAUUGAACCGCAUGGUUCAAUAGUGUAAGACGGUUUUGCUGUCACUUAUAGAUGGAUCCGCGCCGCAUUGGCUGGGUGGUAAGGUAACGGCUUACCAAGGCAACGAUGCGUAGCCGACCUGAGAGCGUGAAGGGCCACACUGGAACUGAGACACGGUCCAGACUCCUACGGGAGGCAGCAGUAGGGAAUCUUCCGCAAAGGGCGAAAGCCUGAAGGAGCAACGCCGCGUGAGUGAAGAAGGUCUUCGGAUCGUAAAACUCUGUUAUUAGGGAAGAACAAAUGUGUAAGUAACUAUGCACGUCUUGACGGUACCUAAUCAGAAAGCCACGGCUAACUACGUG